Molecule: transfer RNA, 65 nt
Filed under: Dipodomys ordii (Ord's kangaroo rat)
Lineage: Eukaryota; Metazoa; Chordata; Mammalia; Rodentia; Heteromyidae
Rfam family: tRNA
About the family: Transfer RNA (tRNA) molecules are approximately 80 nucleotides in length. Their secondary structure includes four short double-helical elements and three loops (D, anti-codon, and T loops).
Source: Rfam by way of RNAcentral
GGUGGCUCAGUUGUAGAGCACUUGCCUUGCAUGCAUGAGGCCCUGGGUUCGAUUCCCCAGCACCA